GACAAGUGAAUCUGCUCAAUGAUUUUUUAAAUUGCUGUGGUAUUUUGACUAUACAAAGGUAUUGUAAUAAGAUUUUAAUUGAAUGCUAAAAGAAUGGAAUUACAGGGAAAAGUUUUUUUAAAUUUAAUAAUUAAAGUUAUUUUAAUUUGUGAAGAAACAAUUAUGAAAAUUAAAGACAAGAAGACCCUAAGAAUUUAUGAAUUUUUGAUAUGUAUAUAUAAAUUAUUUAUACAAAUAAAAUUCUUGGUUGGGGCAACUAAAAAAUAUAUAAAACUUUUUUUUUAUUUAAAAUGACCCAUUAUUAAUGAUUAUAUGGAAAAAAUACUCUAGGGAUAACAGCGUAAUAAUUUUUGAUAGAUCUUAUAGACAAAAUAGUUUGCGACCUCGAUGUUGGAUUAGGAUACUUCUUUAAUGAAGAUGUUAAAGAAAGAAGUUUGUUCAACUUUUAAAUUCCUACUUGAUCUGGUUCCAAAACGGGA
Molecule: ribosomal RNA, 479 nt
Filed under: Dermacentor marginatus
Lineage: Eukaryota; Metazoa; Arthropoda; Arachnida; Ixodida; Ixodidae
Description: partial large subunit ribosomal RNA
Rfam family: Bacterial large subunit ribosomal RNA (bases 332-479)
Source: RNAcentral